RNAcentral lists this non-coding RNA (48 nucleotides) under Trichobilharzia regenti. The record is from RNAcentral. Lineage: Eukaryota; Metazoa; Platyhelminthes; Trematoda; Strigeidida; Schistosomatidae.
CCUUAGCUGACGAGUCCCAAAUAGGACGAAAUGCGCGUUGUCCUGGAU